This 8292-nucleotide unclassified non-coding RNA is filed under the name Leishmania donovani. RNAcentral describes it as "gene:LdHU3.36.6610(CDS-product:hypothetical_prote in_conserved)". Lineage: Eukaryota; Euglenozoa; Kinetoplastea; Trypanosomatida; Trypanosomatidae. The record is from RNAcentral.
GAACGGAAGUACUCAUACAUCUUUACUUCCUCCCCAUUCCGACUCGCGUGAGUCUGUGUGUGUUCGUCUGUGUGUUUUGGGCUCUGCAUCGGCGAUAUAUAUAUAUAUACACACAUAGUUAUUUAUUUACAUUUGCGAGGCGACGGCGUACGGCUCAGGAAAGGGGUGCAGUAGGAGGUGCGUUUUCUCUUUUCCCUCUUCUCAUUCUCUCCUCCUGAGUGAGUGAGUGAGUGCUUGUUUAUGUGUGUGCUCGUGUGGCAGAGUAUACACACACGAACGCACGCACACACAGAAAAAAAAAAGAAACCAAGCAUAUAGGGGCGUAACGUCGACGCAAGACAACGAGGGAUCCGAGGGAACAGACGAAGACACAAGGCCGCAUCUACAUAAGUAACUCCCCCCUCACCCCCCCCCCCGAAAAAAAUUGAAAGUUCACAGCGCGUGUUUACGGCUGUGCAGUUGUGUUGGUGUUUACGUGGGUGCGUGCUGUGGUAGCAGAACGUUCUCCUACAGUUUGCUCACAAACCGCGCAGCUCCUGCCCGCCUUGCCCUCUUCCUCCUCUCCUGACCCCUCAGUCACGUGGCCCCCGCUCUCUAGGCUGUUUCUCCUUUUUUUUCGUGACGAGACGUAGAUCACGCGGGGGUUUUCCUCUUCAGCUCUUUGUGUGUGUGUGCGUGUCUGUGUUUGUGCCCGCCACGCAUCCUCCGAUCGCGUCUGUGGCGCUCUUCUCUCUGCGUUUAUGUCUGCAGCGCUUUCAUAGAGGACACUUUUACUUCUUUGUUUGUGCCUCUCUCUGUUUUUCUUUUUUGUUUCUGUGCUUUCCUUGGCGUGGCGCCCGCCUUUCACCCGGCACUUUUCGUUUUUUUUCUGCUUUAUUGUGUUUUGCCGCUCCUCUUUCUCUGUGUCGCUCUUCCCAUCUUCUGCCACCUUUUUCCCCGCCUCCGCCGACACUCUCCUCCUCCUCCCCCUCCUUCCGGUCUCCUCGUGUGCCUUUUGUGGGAGCACCCGUGCUGUUAGUUUUCUGUUUUGUUUUAACCUUUUCUGUGCCUCUUUUUUAUUUGAAACGGAAUCUCCUCAGUCGUGUGGAGUUGCGUUGGCGCACGAAAACUAUAUGUUGGCUGUCUUCGUUUUUUUUGUAUUUUCGUGCCCUCAUGUGUGUGCUCUCUUUGCGUUUUUUUUCCAUUUUGCUUUACUUCCUUCUUCCUCUUCGUUGUUGUUGCCCGUGUGGGGGUUCGUUUAUUUCACUCCCUGCCCGUUUACGCUUCGUCCCUGCUUUUCCGACCGCCCUCUCUCGUCCCCUUUUCGGUGUCGUCGCGCUGUGCUAGAUCUCUCUCUCUCUUCUUUUUUCUUGUUACUGCUACGUGUUCCCUCCCACCUCACGUUUGCCAUCGAUUGAGUUGCCAUCCGGUGCUGUGUCUUCUGUUUUGCUCCUGCGGUGUGCACUCCUCCGAAAAGCCCUUCUACCGUAGACGUGGAAAGCUAACUGUCGGACGUGCCAGCUAGCUGCUCUUUAGGACUUCGACAACUUCAUCACGUCACACUUGGUUUCUCGUCUUUCGUGCCCGUCGGCACCCUAACGUUAUCCCACAGAUUGCGCAUCUCGGGAUCCUGGCAGUGCGUGUGCGUGGCAUAAGCGCUGGUGGUGAGGUGACUAGCUAAAGACAGAAUAAAGGACGUGGCGAAGCAACCUCGUGCGCACUGGCAAGCCCAACAGCACGGGAAAGACGCAGGUAGACGGUAUUGUGAAGGUAAAGAGCAAGUUUUCACAGCGCAGACGUGCGGCGGUGUUGGUUUGCUUAGGAAUUUGCGUGUGCGUGUGCUUUCUUUGCUGUGGGUGGUGUCGCCGUGUUUUUUGUUAUUGCUCACGAUUGUAAGUCGGACCAGAAAGUCGAAGUAUGCGGAGUGAGACGAUCAUGAGGCGCGCGCACCGUCAUGCCAGCGGGCAUGGAAUGGGCGGCGUCAUGAGCAGCACCAGCGCGACAGUCGUCCCGGCAGCAGAGUUAGCGGACGCAGAGGCAGAAAAACUGUCGAGCGCGGAUCGUAGUGGCGGCAACGGCACGAGCAACUGCAACGAUGCGGCGAAGCAGGCGACGGUGCUGGAGCGUUUGUGGAGACCAGUGGAGUGCGUCCUAAUGGACAUCUGCUACGCGAUUGAUGAUCGGUUCAUUAUUCCACAGAACAUCACUGCUGUGCCGGCGCUCAUAGAAGAAGAGUUCACUCACCGGCAGGGGUUUUUUAUGCUUCUGGGACACUUUAUCUCGAUCUCAACUCUCAUGGUGUUUGCCGCCUACUCCCGCCGCCUGAGCAACCUGGUGAGUGGGGCGUCGCCAGUGAUGGGUGAGAUUCUGUUUUGCGUGUCGCACCUCUCUCAAGUGACUCAAGAGCAGCUAGGCUGGAGUCUGUUCUGCACUGGCUUCCUGUCACCCAGCACUUUUGAGUGGGCAACGACGGAAAGCGGCAUCAGUGGCGGUGUGGCGAUAUUGGGCGGGGCAGGCAGCCCAGGCUCCAAGCGGCAGAUGCUCGGAGCCAAUGGCGGUGGCGGAUUUGGCGCCAGCGGCGCGUCAGCCGGUGGGUCGCAGGGCUCGACUGGCAUGGGCGGUGGUAGUGCCGGGGGCAUCGCGGGCUGUCCGUACACAGGUGGGAACCUGGUGCGGUACUUGUUGGGGCGCAAGGCUAACAGCAUGAUUCGCCAAGAAUCGUUGCGAUCGUACCUGUACUCUAGCUUUUACUCGCCGUCGGCAUUCUUGGCGGAGCAGACGGUGUGGUUUGUCCUGUUGGCGGCGACAAUGGAUCUGGUCUCCAUGCAGCGGCUAGCCGUGGCAGCCUUCUUCGCAAACGUUGUGGGAUGGCUGCCAGUGUACUCUGUCAAGUCGUUGGCCGGGCUGGGGGUGGCUCUGGUGGUGGUGUUCAUGUAUUGGAUUCCGUCGUCGGAGGUGGAUGACGCCGUUCUCUCCGUCACAUUUUUGCAGCGCCCCAUGCACCGCUUGCUCUCUGCCUACUGCGCCUCCCUCUGCAUCACUCUCUUGUUUGCCGAGACGCUCCUGCUGGAAGACGUGCGACGGGUGAUCGUUCAUGCUGUCUUUACGCUGCCGCAGCGGCUGCUGCGCGUCGGCGGACAUCACCCGGUCGUUGCAAAGAUCGUGCAUGGGUGCGCGUGGCUGCGGUGCGAGUAUUUUUAUUUCGUCGACUUUUACUUUUUCUUGGGGAUGAUGUGUUGGCUGUCACUCGUCUUAAUGGAGACGGCGGCGGGCAUCUCGGUUUUCGGCACUGCGGCGUUGUUAACUGCGGUUCCGUGGCUGGUCGGCAGCGGGUGGAGGGAGACGCCGAUGCAGGCGCUCAAGGACACGGUUAUUUAUGUUGGUUUCUACGUGGUAGUGGCGAUUCUGCUCGCCCACGUCGUGCCGUGGAGCGGGUUGGCAUUCUUGUCUAAUGCCAUGCAGUCAGGUGCAGUGUUGUUUCUCAUGGCGGCGCGCUGCGAGUGCAAGCAGCCGGGCGGGAGCGCGUACGUGCUGCUGUGGGUGGCGAUGAUGUGCGUUUACCUCUACCUGAAGGCUGGGGCGAUGCGCGGGACGACGGGCUCAUCGACGCGGAGCCUGUACGACUCAAACCCUCGCGCCAACUUUGCGAAGGCGGCGUACGCUGUGUGGUGCGGCGGGCCGGAGACGGAAGAGGGGGCGCUCAGCCUGCUUCGCAGUGCGUGCAUCACUUUCUGGCAACUUCUCUCCAAAGGUUUGAGCGAAGAGGGCAUUCAAGUGCUGCACUUCAACGUAGUCGUUCUCGGCUCGAUGCUGCUGUUUUCCACUACAGUGCGCGCCGUGGUCGUGGAGGGCGUACGCUUCUCGAGCCCUGGACCAGCGGUAUCAACCUCAGCGGAGGCCACAGCCACACCCGCCGCGGCAUUGGCAGCUUCCUCCGUGUCGCUUUUGCCGACGAGCACAACCGCUGCUUCGGCGAAAGGCGAUCACAACGGUGGCGCUGCCCAAGCCUUGGCAGGGCGUCAGUGCUGCUUCCGUAGCGUAUUAAACGGCUCCCACUGUAGUGCGCCCACGUCCUCGUCAUGUGCGAAAAGCAGAGCCGCGGCACAUGUUGUCGGUGCAAAGGCUUCGUCGUCGUCGACUGCAAGCAUCAUGAGGCGCUCAUGGCAAGCGCCAACUCAUGCUGCAGCCGCUGCGAUUGACGCCUGCGGCAGAGGCAAGUGCAGUGAUGGUGUUGCAGCACCAGAGGAGGGCGGAUCGGAGGAGAGUGUGGCAGAGGCACUUGUAGAGAUGGAAAAGAUGAUCGAGGAGGCAAAGGAGGCCACCAGAGAAGUGUGGUUUGUUGCACAAGGAGUAGACGAGCAACCAGCCUGGCCAGCGCCUCCGGCCGCCACAGGUGUGUCGCCUGUCGAGGAUGAGGAAGCGCCGGCGGCGUUAGAGGAAGAGACGGAGAUGCCAGCGGCGCCGCUAACUUCGACGUCGAGUCCAAGUAUGUCGAAGCGCGAGGACAAUCAGAAGGAGCAGCGGCCACAGCUGUCCACCGCGUCGUUGACCCAGAACCCGGCAUCGGUAGACUCGGUGGACGAGGCUGUGAGGGAGGAAAAUGAGAAGACGCCUCCUGAGCCGAUCAGUGGUCUCGACAGCAAGAAAACGGAGGUGGCGUCAACCGUGUUUCCGAGAGACGAGAGCGACCUCAUCCAGCAUGCGUCGCGGAGCGCAUCCCUUGAGGAGAUUGUCAACUGCACCGCCACAUCUUUCACCUCAACAAUGUGCCGCUCCGACAUGAGCUCAGCCAUACUAUCCAGCUUUCGCCACGAGAAAGCCGCAUCGCUCACGAGCCGCAGCUCGACAGCCGCGGAGACACCGCUGGAAACUCGUCGCGAGCGGCAGGAGCGGGAACGCGAAAAGGAUGGACGAUACGAGCGAGAGCGCGUCAAGACACCGGCAUCCACGGCCUCCUGUGCCUCGGCUUUGCCGUUUCCGGCGACAAAGGCGCAGCGAGAGGAAGCUCAGACGCCGCCGCAGCAGCGGACAUCCAAGUCGUCAGGGGGGCAGAAGACGUCUACAGACACCGAAACACCGACCGCUGCGUCCUCGGCGCCCGCUCUUCCACUGCCGCGCUCCCAUACGGAGAGCCUAAAAAAGGCCGCGGAGACUCCGAUGAGUCCCCUGGUGACCAGCCGCCAGACGGCUGUGACAGAGAGUAUGGAGUUGGUGCGGUCGAAGAACUCAGGAGCGGACGCUAGGACAACAGCAGCUUCUGCCGCGAAAGCAGCACGCUUAACAGAAUCGACGGCGUUGGCCGGUGCUGCCUCGGCUGCUGCGGGGGUCGGGGUGGGGGCCAAGAAGGACAAGGGCAAGGCGGCCAGAGACAAUGGCGAGGGCAAGAAGGCCGACGGCAAGGUGAAGAUGGCCGCGGACAAGAGCAGCACGAACAGCAAAGCUGUGACUGAGCCAUCUCCAGGGGACGCGAAAGCGGUGGAGUCGGCUGCCGCUAGCGGGCCCGUUACGUUCCCGCUUCCGAAGCCGCGCCACGAGCACAAGUCAGCGGGCGAGGCUGUCGCCACCGCAACCGCGAAGGCACCGGCCGCCGCAGCCAAAGGUGCAGCUGGAGACGCGGCGGGUGGUGAAAAGCGAGGCAGCCACAAAGCCGCCCCAUUCUCCAUGCCGGAAAACGCGGGCGCGGCAGCUGCAAAGAAGGCCGCCGCCGCUGCCGCAGCACCACCCCAGAUCUCGGCCUCGGCACCAGCACCCACGGCGUCGUCGUCAUCGUCUGUCGCGACGGCACCGGCGGUGCUGCCAUUGCCGUUACCGCGCUCAGUACAGGCAGCUGAAACUGACAGUGCGGCAGGGGCUGCUCAGACAUCACCGGCAAGCGGCGAGCAACCCCAUGAGGUGCCGUUACAGCAGGCCUUGCGCGACUUGCGGUGGGCAAGCGCAGCUUCACACGUGACACCAGCUGCUGGUACGGAUGGGUCUGGCCAGGUGUCGGCGAGUGGGCCGAAGCAUGACGUCAAGAGUAAACCCUCCGCCGCGGCGGCUGCCGAUGAUGCAGAAGAGUCCGACGUCAGCUACGACCUGGUCCGUGCACUCAACUUCCUCAGACUAAAAAUAAACUACGCAGCCGGUGUGGACGAUGGUGACGACGAUGACGGAAGCAGCUCGACGGUGUCGAAUGCGGACUGCCGGCACAACCCUACGUCCUUUCUUCACUCGGACUCACCAGAGCACUCGACAACGACACCGAAGCGCUCGCUGUCGAAUGCGCCCGAGGUGAAGUUGGGCGUAUCUGCAGCAGCUGACUUGGGAGUCGAUGCGAACGUGUCUCGCACGGUGCCUCAGCGGACUGACGAGGCUGGUGCUGCGCACGAGUCAUUCGCGCUGGCGCAACCGUCAAAGAACGAGUCACUGAUGAGCACCCCGCAGCGCGUCUCCCAGGCGAUUCAAUCAGUGUCCGAGUGGACGGCCAAGAGCAGAAGCGGCUUCGGCGACUGCCGAACGGACUCCUUCGCCUCUACAAAUCACAACAGCGCUAACUCUAGCGGCAACUGCGCUCUACACGACCGCAGGUCUCCUGUCUUUCACGUCUUCUCCACUCACCCGAACGCGGCAGUUGCUGCGACGGCAGCCGAGAGCUCCUUGUCCCCGCACCCGCGGCCGGUGCACAUGGACGUGGCGUCGCACGGCAGCGAACUGCUGCCUUCUGAGAUGGUGGAGAGCGGCAUGGAAUUGUCGGCAGCUACGCGGUACAUGGACUUUAACGCUGCCUGCUCCUCGCUGGGGCACUACCAGGUGCCGCAGAUCGUUGCGCCGCCUUCGCCGCCGUUGGAGUCGCGGCAGUCGUCCUCCUCGCACAUGCCAUUCAGUGUUUCUACCUUCAACCACAGCGGAUCACAGAUGUCGUCGAUGUCGAGCAUCGGGCGAUCCAACUCCGACACUGCAGGCGAUCGGAGCUCGGUGCUCCCUCGCAUGCGAGGCGCGCCAAAUGGCCGGGUGUCGGUGAUUGAGCAGAUGGCAACGCAAAAGACGCAACAGAGCGUUUCUGUUGCUGACACGAUGCAGCAGAUGCAGUUUGGUGCGUCGAGCAUGCAGCAGGCGAUGAUGGUGAUGAUGCGCGCCCCGGAUGGACAGAUGGCCUUGUACCCGAUGGUGUACAACCAGCCGGUGUACAUGGCGGACGCGAACGGGGUGAUGCAGCCCGCGCAGAGUGUCCAGAUGACUUCUCAUCCGCCGCCACAGCAGCAGCAGAUCGUAUACGCUGCUGCCGCACCGUCGCCGGGGCAGGCGGUAGAGGUUGCCUACCACAUCGCACCUGACGGCUCGUACAUGAUGACAGCGAUUCCUCAGAUGCCGCAGCAGAUGAUGGGCCAGUAUCAGCAGCAGCAAGAGCCAUAUCAGCGGUUUGGACGUGAAUAGCUGAAGCCGGAAGGUCAAGUCGAGCGUGCCCUCUGCGCAUGCACGCGAGCGUACGAUGUUUUCACGUUGUAGAGCACGAGUGGGCGUUUCGUGGCGUCUGAGAGUUAUUAUUCUCCAUACUAACGUGCAUGUGUGUGUGUGUGUGUGCGUCUGAAAGUUCUUGUCUGGAAUCGAUAGCGACCACGCGCAAACUUGCUUUUUCUUUUUUUCGUAGGGGACGGUCUCGGCGUCGACUUCCAACACUCCUGAACUCAGCACAGGACAAACACGGAGGGCUGCUAUUUCCGCUCUCCCUCCCACCACCCCAUUCUCCAUUGCCAAAAGAGGCGUAUAGCAGCGCUCUACCCGUCGCUUACAGUAACUUCAAUGCAGUGGAGUACUGCCGGGGCACAAGGGAGAAAACGCCGCGUUAAAGGUAUACAUUUUUGUUUUCUGCAUGCUUGAGUCUACAGGGUUUUUUUUCUUCGCGCGUAUGCGCCGAGAGCACACCUGGCGGCGGCGAACGUGAAACCACAGAGGAAGCACAGAAAUCUGGAGAAAGGUGCGAGUGGGUGGAUCGCCUCUGAGGUGUUCCCUGUUGUGCGUCGCUGAUCAUUCCGUCUUCUGUUUCAACUAGGGGACAGUACAAGCAACCUGCACACCUACUCCAAAGGAUUAACAAGAAAAGUUUAACACCGCCAUAUCUUACUUUGCCAUCCCCUCACCGCGACUACUCUCGUUGCGUGUCGCCUUGAGCUUUCUUGUUCCCCCACCUUAGCAUCGCCAGCAACGAACGUACGGCACAAAUUUCCUGGGUGGAACUUCUCCAGACAUUGCAUCUGAAUAUUUUCAUGCUGCAGGUUGGUGCACCGUGUCGAACUUGACGGUGCCCAUGCGGCGCCAACCUGUUAACAACGCCAG